GGCGAGUGGCGACGGGUGAGUAAUACAUCGGAACGUGCCCAAUCGUGGGGGAUAACGCAGCGAAAGCUGUGCUAAUACCGCAUACGAUCUACGGAUGAAAGCAGGGGAUCGCAAGACCUUGCGCGAAUGGAGCGGCCGAUGGCAGAUUAGGUAGUUGGUGAGGUAAAGGCUCACCAAGCCUUCGAUCUGUAGCUGGUCUGAGAGGACGACCAGCCACACUGGGACUGAGACACGGCCCAGACUCCUACGGGAGGCAGCAGUGGGGAAUUUUGGACAAUGGGCGAAAGCCUGAUCCAGCCAUGCCGCGUGCAGGAUGAAGGCCUUCGGGUUGUAAACUGCUUUUGUACGGAACGAAACGGCCUUUUCUAAUAAAGAGGGCUAAUGACGGUACCGUAAGAAUAAGCACCGGCUAACUACGUGCCAGCAGCCGCGGUAAUACGUAGGGUGCAAGCGUUAAUCGGAAUUACUGGGCGUAAAGCGUGCGCAGGCGGUUAUGUAAGACAGUUGUGAAAUCCCCGGGCUCAACCUGGGAACUGCAUCUGUGACUGCAUAGCUAGAGUACGGUAGAGGGGGAUGGAAUUCCGCGUGUAGCAGUGAAAUGCGUAGAUAUGCGGAGGAACACCGAUGGCGAAGGCAAUCCCCUGGACCUGUACUGACGCUCAUGC
This 665-nucleotide ribosomal RNA is filed under the name Variovorax sp. EECC-472. Its description in RNAcentral is "bacterial SSU rRNA". It matches the Rfam family "Bacterial small subunit ribosomal RNA", at positions 90 to 752 of the family's 1533-position model. Lineage: Bacteria; Pseudomonadati; Pseudomonadota; Betaproteobacteria; Burkholderiales; Comamonadaceae. The record is from RNAcentral.